RNAcentral lists this long non-coding RNA (1960 nucleotides) under Homo sapiens (human). RNAcentral describes it as "PREDICTED lncRNA (TCONS_00188790)". The record is from RNAcentral. Lineage: Eukaryota; Metazoa; Chordata; Mammalia; Primates; Hominidae.
GCUGCCAGCAUGGCUAGAAUAAAAGCAGGCAGAGGAACAUGGAAGAACUAGACUGGCUUAGUCUCCUGUCCUACAUCUUCCUCCCAUGCUGGAUGCUUCCUGCCCUCGAACAUCAGACUCCAAGUUCUACUCUUGAACCUUGGACCCCCAACUGAGAGCUGCACUGUCAGCUUCCCUACUUUUGAGGUUUUGGGACUCAGAUUGGCUUCCUUACUCCUCAGCUUGCAGAUGGCCUAUUGUGGGACUUUACCUUGUGAUUGUGUUCCCAUCAUUUCUACCGCUUUCAUCAGUUCUUGUGCAGCAGAAUGAGGUCCCAGCAGGGUUUUCUCUCAUUGCUGCCUCCACCCUCUGCCUUGUCAGAAGUCUGACCCAGACCUCCCUGGACUAAACUCAAGAUGUCAUCAGAGGCUGGAGUGCAGUGGUGCAAUUAUGGAUCGAGGUUAACUGCAGUCUCAACUUCUCAACCUUGUGAAUUCAAGCAAUCCUCCCACCUCAGCCUCCCAAGUAGCCGGAACUACAGGCAUUUAACACCACAUCCAGCUAAUUUUUAAAAAAAUAUUUUGUAGAGACCGGGUCUCACCCUGUUGCCCAAGCUGAUCUCAAACUCCAUGGUUCGACCUCCUGAUGCCCAAAUCCUGGAAUUACAGGCAUAAGCCUCUGCACCUGGCUGCUUUCUUCCUCUCAAGAGCUUUUCAGAAUUCAAAUGGUUUGAAACUUUAUUGAGAUUAAAGUGAUCAUUUUUUUUUCUUUCUUUCUAUUUUGUUAUUAUUGUUGUCGUUUUGAGACAGAGUCUUACUCUGUCUCACAGGCGGGAGUGCAGUGGCAUAAUCUCGGCUCACGGAAGCCUCCACCUCCCGCAUUCAAGUGAUUCUCAUGUUUCAGCCUCCCAAGUAGCUGGGAUUACAGGUGUGUGCCACCAUGUCUGGCUAAUUUUGUAUUUUUAGUAGAGACGGGGUUUUGCCAUAUUGGCCAGCCUGGUCUCGAACUCCUGGCCUCAAGCGAUCCACCCGUCUCAGCCUCCCAAAGUGCUGGAAUUACAAGCAUGAGCCACUACACCUGGCCCAAUUUUUUUCUUUUAUGGUUCAAGUCUAUGAAUUCUUUUGUCUAUGCUUAGAUCCUGCAAAUUUUUUCCUAAAAGUUUUACAGUUUAACAUUUUACAUUUAAUUCCAUAAUUCAUUUUGAGUUAUUUUUUGUAAUAAAGUGUGAGGCUUAGGUCAAGGUGUUUUCUUUUAUUUGUUUUUGUUAUUGUUGUUUGUUUUGUUGCUGUUGAUGUCUACUUGUUCCAGUACCAUUUGCUGAAAAGACCAUCUUUUCUCCAUUGAUUAAUUUUGUAAGACCAUAACUCUUAACAUCAAAGAAGACACAACUUUAUCUAUAUUUUCUUAUAUCUAAGAAAAGCAGUAGUUUUUGUUUAGAGAGUGCUAAUUGUGUGCCAAAGCACUAUCCUAAGCUUCUUAUAUAUCUUUACCCAUUUCCUUGCCUCAAUGACUCAUUACUCAUUUAAUUGUCUUAAUAACUCCUUGAAGUAAGUAUUAUUGUUUCCAUCUCACAGAUAAUGAAACUAAAAUUUAGCCAGGUUAAAUGAUUUGCUCAAAGUCACAAAGCUAGUGAGUUGGAAAGCUGGGAUUCGGACCCAAGCGAUAUUCCCCUAAAGACUGUGCUGUUAACCUUCAUGAAUGCUGCAUUAUUUACAGUGCGCCAGAUAUUUAGCAAAAUACUGAACAUUUUGCUGUUUUUCUCACUGUUAUCACAAGGCAUUUCAACUAACGUAAUAAUAAAAGACUCUCUCCUCACAUCCCUUUUUUUAAGUUUCAUGUGUUUGAUGUUUUAUUCAUAUCAAAACCCUCAUGUCCAUGAAAAUACAAUUUAAGAGUCAAAAAGCAUAAAAUUAUAUUUCCAAAUUUGGAGUCUGUUUCACAAGCUGAAGCGCACAGUUUUGAUACCUUGACAAUCUUUCUG